RNAcentral lists this ribosomal RNA (271 nucleotides) under uncultured eukaryote. Its description in RNAcentral is "partial small subunit ribosomal RNA". It matches the Rfam family "Eukaryotic small subunit ribosomal RNA", at positions 1161 to 1452 of the family's 1831-position model. The record is from RNAcentral.
AGGGCACCACCAGGAGUGGAGCCUGCGGCUUAAUUUGACUCAACACGGGGAAACUCACCAGGUCCAGACACAAUAAGGAUUGACAGAUUGAGAGCUCUUUCUUGAUUUUGUGGGUGGUGGUGCAUGGCCGUUCUUAGUUGGUGGAGUGAUUUGUCUGCUUAAUUGCGAUAACGAACGAGACCUUAACCUACUAAAUAGUGGUGCUAGCAUUUGCUGGUUCUUCCACUUCUUAGAGGGACUAUCGAUUUCAAGUCGAUGGAAGUUUGAGGCA